UGGGGAAUUUUGCGCAAUGGGGGAAACCCUGACGCAGCAACGCCGCGUGGACGAUGAAGCAUCUUGGUGUGUAAAGUCCUUUCGGCAGGGACGAAUAAAUUGACGGUACCUGCAGAAGAAGCCCCGGCUAACUCCGUGCCAGCAGCCGCGGUAAUACGGGGGGGGCGAGCGUUGUUCGGAAUUAUUGGGCGUAAAGGGCGCGUAGGCGGUGUGGCAAGUCAGGUGUGAAACCUCCAGGCUCAACUUGGAGCUUGCAUCUGAAACUGCCGUGCUAGAGUGUGGGAGAGGAGAGUGGAAUUCCUGGUGUAGCGGUGAAAUGCGUAGAUAUCAGGAGGAACACCGGUGGCGAAGGCGGCUCUCUGGACCACAACUGACGCUGAGGCGCGAAAGCUAGGGGAGCAAACAG
This 406-nucleotide ribosomal RNA is filed under the name uncultured bacterium. Its description in RNAcentral is "bacterial SSU rRNA". It matches the Rfam family "Bacterial small subunit ribosomal RNA", at positions 355 to 775 of the family's 1533-position model. The record is from RNAcentral.